This 497-nucleotide ribosomal RNA is filed under the name uncultured bacterium. RNAcentral's name for it is "partial 16S ribosomal RNA". It matches the Rfam family "Bacterial small subunit ribosomal RNA", at positions 28 to 507 of the family's 1533-position model. The record is from RNAcentral.
GAUGAACGCUGGCGGCGUGCCUAAUACAUGCAAGUCGAGCGAACAGAUGAGGAGCUUGCUCCUCUGACGUUAGCGGCGGACGGGUGAGUAACACGUGGAUAACCUACCUAUAAGACUGGGAUAACUUCGGGAAACCGGAGCUAAUACCGGAUAAUAUAUUGAACCGCAUGGUUCAAUAGUGAAAGACGGUUUUGCUGUCACUUAUAGAUGGAUCCGCGCCGCAUUAGCUAGUUGGUAAGGUAACGGCUUACCAAGGCAACGAUGCGUAGCCGACCUGAGAGGGUGAUCGGCCACACUGGAACUGAGACACGGUCCAGACUCCUACGGGAGGCAGCAGUAGGGAAUCUGCCGCAAUGGGCGAAAGCCUGACGGAGCGACGCCGCGUGAGUGAUGAAGGUCUUCGGAUCGUAAAACUCUGUUAUUAGGGAAAAACAAAUGUGUAAGUAACUAUACACGUCUUGACGGUACCUAAUCAGAAAGCCACGGCUAACUACGUG